UGAACGCUGGCGGCGUGCCUAACACAUGCAAGUCGAACGAAGCGUCCCGCCCGAAGAAGAGGAGAGCUUGCUCAAAUCGGACUCAAUGGGACGACUAGUGGCGGACGGGUGAGUAACGCGUGGGUAACCUGCCGUGUGCAGGGGGAUAACAGUUAGAAAUGACUGCUAAUACCGCAUAAGCGCACAGUAUCGCAUGAUACAGUGUGAAAAGCCGAGACGGCACACGAUGGACCCGCGUCUGAUUAGCCAGUUGGCAGGGUAACGGCCUACCAAAGCGACGAUCAGUAGCCGGCCUGAGAGGGUGAACGGCCACAUUGGGACUGAGACACGGCCCAAACUCCUACGGGAGGCAGCAGUGGGGGAUAUUGCACAAUGGGGGAAACCCUGAUGCAGCGAACGCCGCGUGAGUGAAGAAGUAUUUCGGUAUGUAAAGCUCUAUCAGCAGGGAAGAAAAUGACGGUACCUGACUAAGAAGCUCCGGCUAAAUACGUGCCAGCAGCAGC
Molecule: ribosomal RNA, 503 nt
Filed under: uncultured bacterium
Lineage: Bacteria
Description: bacterial SSU rRNA
Rfam family: Bacterial small subunit ribosomal RNA
Source: RNAcentral